RNAcentral lists this ribosomal RNA (153 nucleotides) under uncultured bacterium. Its description in RNAcentral is "partial 16S ribosomal RNA". It matches the Rfam family "Bacterial small subunit ribosomal RNA", at positions 355 to 525 of the family's 1533-position model. The record is from RNAcentral.
UGGGGAAUCUUGCACAAUGGAGGAAACCCUGAUGCAGCGAUGCCGCGUGAGUGAAGAAGGCCCUUGGGUUGUAAAGCUCUUUUGUCGGGGAAGAAAAUGACUGUACCCGAAAAAGAAGGUCCGGCUAACUUCGUGCCAGCAGCCGCGGUAAUA